This 1887-nucleotide ribosomal RNA is filed under the name Triticum aestivum (bread wheat). RNAcentral's name for it is "partial small subunit ribosomal RNA". The record is from RNAcentral. Lineage: Eukaryota; Viridiplantae; Streptophyta; Magnoliopsida; Poales; Poaceae.
AUGGCCGUGGCGACGGCGGCGGAGAAGGCGGUGCGGUGCCUGGGGCUGGGGUUCGACAUGACGUGCGACCUCAGGCUCAAGUUCUGCAAGCACUCCGGCGGCUGCGUGGUCGCCAGGAGCUCCCGCGAGACGGCGCCGGCCGCCGUGCCGGGCGUCGGCGUGGUCCGCGACAUGCCGGCCGACGUCAAGUGCGGCAAGGGCGACCGCGUCCGCUUCAAGUCCGACGCGCUCGAGUUCAACAAGAUGUCGGAGCUGUUCAACCAGCGGAGCGCCGUGGAGGGGAAGAUCCCGUCGGGGCAGUUCAACGCGUGCUUCGACCUGGACAGCGGGUCGUGGGCGCAGGACGCGUCCGCCACCAAGUGCCUCGCCAUGGACGGCUACUUCAUCUCCCUCUUCGAUCUCCAACUCGAUCGUCGCCCGCUCGCCCUCGCCGCCCAUGUUCUCUGCGACGUCCCUGCCGCCUGGGACCCCUCCGCCAUCGCAAGCUUCAUCGAGAAGUACGGGACGCACGUGGUGGUGGGGCUGAGCAUGGGCGGGCAGGACGUGGUGUGCGUACGGCAGGCCGCGUCGUCGCCGCUGUCGCCGGCGGAGAUCAGGGGCCACCUCGACCGGCUCGGCGACCAGCUCUUCACCGGCGCCUGCGCCGUGCCGCCGCCCCACGCCAGGUCCAGGGCCAGGCUCGCCAGGACGCCGGAGGCCUUCAACGUGUUCGACGCGCAGGUGGCGCAGCAGCGGCUGCAAGGGAUCACCACCCUCGUCUCAUCCAAGGAGGGAGUGACGGUGAUAUACUCGAAGCGGGGAGGGAACACGACGGUGAGCAGCCACGCGGAGUGGCUCCCCACCGUGCCGGCGGCGCCCGAUGUGAUCAACGCCAAGCUCGUGCCCAUCACCUCCCUGCUCCGCGGCGUCGCCGGCACCGGCUUCCUCUCGCACGCCAUCAACCUCUACCUCAGAUAUAAGCCGCCGUUGGCUGACCUGAGGUACUUCCUGGAUUUCCAGCAUCACAGAAUGUGGGCCCCGGUGCUCGGCGAGCUGCCCCUCGGCCCCUGCUCCGACCGCCAGGGCUCCGGCCCGGCCCUGCACUUCAGCCUGCUCGGCUCCAAGCUCUACGUCAGCUCCAGCCAGGUGAUCGUGUCGAAUUUGCCGGUCACCGGGAUGAGGCUGCACCUCGAGGGCAAGAAGAACAACCGGCUGGGCAUCCACCUGCAGCACCUGUCGGCCACCCCGACGUUCAUCGCCGCCGUGCAGGCGCGGGCCGGCAUGGCGCCGGCGUGGCGGGGCUCCGAGGCGGUCACCGACGACCACCGCUACUACGAGCCGGUGCAGUGGCGGAUGUUCGCGCACGUCUGCACCGCGCCGGUCAAGUACGACCCGCGGUGGCACCACUCCCACUCCGACGGCGACGACGGCCGCCGCGCCGCCUACAUCGUGACCGGCGCGCAGCUGCACGUCAUGGCGCGCGACUCCACCACCGUGCUGCACCUCCGGCUGCGCUACUCGGAGCUGCCCGGCUACGCCGUCGUGCAGUCCAGGUGGGGGCGCGGCCCGGCGAGGACGGCGUCGGGGAAGUGGCCGUCGUCGUCGAGCUUCCUGUCCAUGCCCUUCUCGGGGUCCUCUUCGUCGUCGUCGUCCGGUGGCGCUGGCGGCCAGAAGCAGCGAGGCCCGCCGCUGGUGGUGGCGAACAUCAACUCCGGCGUGUUCGCCGGCGGGCCGCCCGUGCCCGUGGGCGCGCAGAAGCUGCUCAAGUUCGUGGACACCUCGCAGGUGACCAUGGGCCCGCACGACAGCCCCGGGUACUGGCUCGCCACCGGCGCGAGGCUCGACGUCGACAAGGGCAAGAUCUCGCUGCACGUCAAGUUCUCCCUGCUCGCCCCGUCGCCUUCCUGA